ACGAACGCUGGCGGCGUGCUUAACACAUGCAAGUCGAACGCUGAAGCUCAGCUUUUGUUGGGUGGAUGAGUGGCGAACGGGUGAGUAACACGUGAGUAACCUGCCCCCUUCUUUGGGAUAACGCCCGGAAACGGGUGCUAAUACUGGAUAUUCACUGGUCUUCGCAUGGGGGUUGGUGGAAAGGGUUUUUCUGGUGGGGGAUGGGCUCGCGGCCUAUCAGCUUGUUGGUGGGGUGAUGGCCUACCAAGGCUUUGACGGGUAGCCGGCCUGAGAGGGUGACCGGUCACAUUGGGACUGAGAUACGGCCCAGACUCCUACGGGAGGCAGCAGUGGGGAAUAAUGCACAAUGGGCGCAAGCCUGAUGCAGCGACGCCGCGUGAGGGAUGGAGGCCGUCGGGUUGUGAACCUCUUUCGCUCAUGGUCAAGCCGCAACAAUGGUUGUGGUGAGGGUAGUGGGUAAAGAAGCGCCGGCUAACUACGUG
RNAcentral lists this ribosomal RNA (482 nucleotides) under uncultured bacterium. RNAcentral describes it as "partial 16S ribosomal RNA". It matches the Rfam family "Bacterial small subunit ribosomal RNA", at positions 29 to 507 of the family's 1533-position model. The record is from RNAcentral.